UACGUAGGGUGCGAGCGUUAAUCGGAAUUACUGGGCGUAAAGUGUGCGCAGGCGGCCGCGCAAGUCGAGUGUGAAAGCCCCGGGCUUAACUUGGGAAUUGCGCUCGAAACUACGUGGCUGGAGUGUGGCAGAGGAAGGUGGAAUUCCAGGUGUAGCGGUGAAAUGCGUAGAGAUGUGGAGGAACACCAAUGGCGAAGGCAGCCUUCUGGGCCAACACUGACGCUCAUGCACGAAAGCGUGGGGAGCAAACAGG
Molecule: ribosomal RNA, 253 nt
Filed under: uncultured bacterium
Lineage: Bacteria
Description: partial 16S ribosomal RNA
Rfam family: Bacterial small subunit ribosomal RNA
Source: RNAcentral